AGAGUUUGAUCCUGGCUCAGAAUGAACGCUGGCGGCGUGCUUAACACAUGCAAGUCGUACGAGAACGCUCUAGCUUGCUAGAGCAAGUAAAGUGGCGCACGGGUGAGUAACGCGUGGAUAAUCUACCUUCGAAUUGGGGAUAACGUUGCGAAAGCGACGCUAAUACCGAAUAAUAUCCAUUAACCUUCGGUUUUUUGGAUCAAGGGUGGCCUCUACAUGUAAGCUACUGUUUGAAGAUGAGUCCGCGUACCAUUAGCUUGUUGGUGGGGUAACGGCCUACCAAGGCAACGAUGGUUAGCUGGUCUGAGAGGAUGAUCAGCCACACUGGAACUGACACACGGUCCAGACUCCUACGGGAGGCAGCAGUGAGGAAUUUUGCGCAAUGGCGAAAGCCUGACGCAGCAACGCCGCGUGAGUGAUGAAGGCUUUCGGGUCGUAAAGCUCUGUCAAGUGGGAAGAACCUAUAUAAUGCCAAUACCAUUAUAUACUGACGGUACCACUGAAGGAAGCACCGGCUAACUCCGUGCCAGCAGCCGCGGUAAUACGGGGGGUGCAAGCGUUAUUCGGAAUCAUUGGGCGUAAAGAGCACGUAGGCGGCCUGGUAAGUCAGAUGUGAAAGCCCGGGGCUUAACCCCGGAAGUGCAUUUGAUACUGCCAGGCUUGAGUAUGGGAGAGGGAAGUGGAAUUCCUGGUGUAGAGGUGAAAUUCGUAGAUAUCAGGAGGAACACCGGUGGCGAAGGCGACUUCCUGGACCAAUACUGACGCUGAGGUGCGAAGGCGUGGGUAGCAAACAGGAUUAGAUACCCUGGUAGUCCACGCAGUAAACGUUGUUCACUAGGUGUAGCGGGUAUUGACCCCUGCUGUGCCGCAGUUAACGCAUUAAGUGAACCGCCUGGGGAGUACGGCCGCAAGGUUAAAACUCAAAGGAAUUGACGGGGGCCCGCACAAGCGGUGGAGCAUGUGGUUUAAUUCGACGCAACGCGAAGAACCUUACCUGGAUUUGACAUCCUGGGAAUCCUAUCGAAAGACUGGAGUGCCCUUCGGGGAGCCCGGAGACAGGUGCUGCAUGGCUGUCGUCAGCUCGUGUCGUGAGAUGUUGGGUUAAGUCCCGCAACGAGCGCAACCCUUGUCUUUAGUUACCAUCAUUCAGUUGGGGACUCUAAAGAUACUGCCCCGGUCAACGGGGAGGAAGGUGGGGAUGACGUCAAGUCCUCAUGGCCUUUAUGUCCAGGGCUACACACGUGCU
RNAcentral lists this ribosomal RNA (1246 nucleotides) under metagenome. RNAcentral's name for it is "bacterial SSU rRNA". It matches the Rfam family "Bacterial small subunit ribosomal RNA", at positions 8 to 1226 of the family's 1533-position model. The record is from RNAcentral.